UUAAUCGAUUAGUUGCUUUUUAUUCGUUUUCAUGCUGAAUGACUCACUGAUUCUUUGUGGAGAAACUCAGUUUUACAAUCUGUCGAUUAAAUGAUUUAAUCUGUCGAUUACAUUAUUAAAUUUAACGAUUGACGACUAAUCGAUGAGUUUAUGUAAAUCAACUAAUCGAUUUGUCGACAAUAUCGUAAAAUCGUUAUUUGACUAAAAUUUUCUUUGGUCGAGGACAACCCUAGAUUUUUUGCAUCAAUGUGAUGAAUUACUAUAAUUUGAUCUAUAAUCAGUUUCCCAAUCAAUAUACUGUAUCCCAAGUACUAUGUCCCAAUACAUAUAAAUACCCAAGAUAAAAUUACAUGUACUAUGAUUGAUGAUUUUAUCCAUAUUGCCCACUCCUACUCCUUGUUUUUUAACUUUAAAUACCAAUAAAACAGUUACAACCACAACUUUUUGAUGAGAUUGAAACAUAGAUUGUUAUGAGUGAAUUAUAACAACAAAUGAAUUAGACAGAAUAGUUUCUGACUUCCCACCCAAACAUUAUUAGCCUGCUAAAAACUUCUUUACAAUGAAGAAGGUUUAUCCAGGCUCUGGAUGAUAAUGGGUUACUAUUAUAAGAUGUGCGAUUAGGAUCUUUCACAUCCUUUGCAAAGGUAAUUUAAUAAUGAGACCAGACCACAAUAGAAAUUGGGUACAUGCCUUUUUUCUUAAUUCUGAUGGGGAUAUUUUAAUAGCCGUU
Sebastes umbrosus (honeycomb rockfish) is the source of this 730-nucleotide long non-coding RNA. RefSeq lists it as uncharacterized. The transcript is spliced from 3 exons. The record is from RefSeq and is a predicted model, not a curated record. Lineage: Eukaryota; Metazoa; Chordata; Actinopteri; Perciformes; Sebastidae.